AAAUAAAUAUCUUAAUGAAUACUAGUUUUAGCCUUUACAGGACUCCAUGAGAAAAUGUGUCUAAAUCUCAUAUGUUCCUUUUUAUAAACUUGAGAAAGAGGCAUAAAGUAAUAAAUCAAGCGUGUGGAACAUUUCUUUUGAAACAGAAAAACAACAACCGCUAUUACCAACAGACACUGAAAACCAUGAGGAAACUACAGGAGAAAGAAGCAUACUCCAGGGAGAAACAGAAGCAAACCAAAUGUCUGAAACAGAAAAUCUUUUACCAGCUGACACUGGGGAAGCUCCAGUAAAAGAUAAGGAAAGAGUGAAGGGAUUUGAAGCCCUGAGCAGUCCAGCUCAGAACCCUGACCAUCGAAGAGGAACAGGAGCCAAUCAGACAGCAGGAGCCCACACCCCAUCUGCUGCUCCACCCAAAACAGGACAUGAAGAGGACACCACCCACACCCCAUCUGCUGCUCCACCCAAAACAGGAAAUGAAGAGGACACCACCCACACCCCAUCUGCUGCUCCACCCAAAACAGGGAAUGAAGAGAA
Molecule: long non-coding RNA, 537 nt
Organism: Conger conger (European conger)
Lineage: Eukaryota; Metazoa; Chordata; Actinopteri; Anguilliformes; Congridae
Exons: 3
Source: RefSeq, a predicted model, not a curated record